GUAGGGAAUAUUGGACAAUGGGUGAGAGCCUGAUCCAGCCAUGCCGCGUGCAGGAAGAAGGCCUUCUGGGUUGUAAACUGCUUUUAUCUGGGGAUAAAAAGGCCUUGCGAGGCAAACUGAAGGUACCAGAUGAAUAAGCCACGGCUAACUACGUGCCAGCAGCCGCGGUAAUACGUAGGUGGCAAGCGUUGUCCGGAUUUAUUGGGUUUAAAGGGUGCGUAGGCGGUUUAUUAAGUCAGUGGUGAAAGACGAUAGCUUAACUAUCGAGGUGCCAUUGAUACUGAUGAACUUGAGUGCACACGAGGUAAGCGGAAUGGACGGUGUAGCGGUGAAAUGCAUAGAUAUCGUCCAGAACACCGAUAGUGAAGACAGCUUACCAGAGUGCAACUGACGCUGAGGCACGAAAGUGUGGGGAUCAAACAGGAUUAGAUACCCCAGUAGUCC
Molecule: ribosomal RNA, 444 nt
Filed under: uncultured bacterium
Lineage: Bacteria
Description: bacterial SSU rRNA
Rfam family: Bacterial small subunit ribosomal RNA
Source: RNAcentral